AUUGAACGCUGGCGGCAGGCCUAACACAUGCAAGUCGAACGAGUGGCGGACGGGUGAGUAAUGUCUGGGAAACUGCCUGAUGGAGGGGGAUAACUACUGGAAACGGUAGCUAAUACCGCAUACCAUCAGAUUUGCCCAGCUGGGAGUCGCUUGUUGGUGGGGUAACGGCUCACCAAGGCGACGAUCCCUAGCUGGUCUGAGAGGAUGACCGGCCAACCUGGAACUGAGACACGGUCCAGCCUCCUACGUGAGGCAGCAUUGGGGAAUAUGGCACAAUGGGCGCAGGCCUGAUGCAGCCAUGCCGCGUGUAUGAAGAAGGCCUUCGGGUUGUAAGGUACUUUCAGCGGGGAGGCGUUAACAGCAGAAGAAGCACCGGCUAACUCCGUGCCAGCCGCCGCGGUAAUAC
Molecule: ribosomal RNA, 406 nt
Filed under: uncultured bacterium
Lineage: Bacteria
Description: partial 16S ribosomal RNA
Rfam family: Bacterial small subunit ribosomal RNA
Source: RNAcentral